Molecule: transfer RNA, 69 nt
Filed under: Poropanchax normani
Lineage: Eukaryota; Metazoa; Chordata; Actinopteri; Cyprinodontiformes; Procatopodidae
Description: tRNA-Arg
Rfam family: tRNA
About the family: Transfer RNA (tRNA) molecules are approximately 80 nucleotides in length. Their secondary structure includes four short double-helical elements and three loops (D, anti-codon, and T loops).
Source: RNAcentral
AGGCACUUAGUUUAAACAAAACAUUUGAUUUCGGCUCAAAAACUUAUGGUUUAACUCCAUAUUUGCCUA